AAAUUCAUCUGAAAAACAGCAUAAUAGUAUAUGUCAGGUAUGUGUUAAUCAGUCUAAUAGAAAAGGUGACAGAAUGUUCUUGGAACCAUCUCAAGGAAUGCUGUACUGAUCUCAUCCCAUAUUCUAAAUCUCAUGUGUGAAGCUUAAAUAGCAUAUACCAAAAUGAUUAAAAUGUACUUUCCAUGAAGUAACAGAGACAAGAAGCAAGCACAGUUGAAGGGGAAAAAAAAAAAAAAAAAAGUGACUCAGUGAAACCCCAACACAAACUGGGCCUCUCAUAGAUUACAUUGGCUGAGCAUCUACUGUGUGCUGGCCCUCAGUCUGCCUGCCAGCUGCUAUUUUUCAGUCCCUCAGUUGUGAUUACAUUCUUGCAAAAAAAAGAAAAAAAAAGGCUCACAGGAUAGAAGCAACUUUCCCAAAGCCACAUAACAGGACGUGACAAGGCACCUUACUGAUUCCAGAGCCUAUAUAACUUCCCUCCUGUUAUGCUGCCCCCCAAAAAGGGCCCACAUCAUACAUGACAGGCCCCCUUGAACUCAUUUGUCCAGGUUCCCAGUGUUCACAUCUAAUUGCUCUGCAUCCUUUGUAAGAAAUAUAAGUGUUGUUUUAGUCGCUAGUCCUCAGUCGCUCCAGCUUGGAUUCAAGGUCUCUUUUCUCAGCCUAGGUCUCUCUUAACCAAUGGAGGUGGACUGACCUGGGAACUAACGCCACUCUACCCUUAUGUGACAUCAGUCAAGGCUUGGGCUUUCACAUAAAAUGAGGAGAGCUAUACCUGCUUCAUGGGAGUCCAUUUUAAAAUUAGAUAACUUAUCACAUAGCAAGCUUCCCAUCAAUGCAUAAAGGCGCCAUCAUGAUAGUGGCCUGUCAUCAGCUAUGCUUUUGCUCAUAAUUAACACUGUGUUCCAUGCUUUCCCCAGUUACUGGCCUUGCCCUGCCUCAUUUUAUCAUUACUCCCAUCAUGAUAAUUAAUUAUCAUUAAUUCCAUCAUGAUUGGGUGCCUUAGGACCCAAUCAUAACAGAAAGAGUAUAGGAAAGUGAAAUUAGGAAAGCAAGAUAUGAAAAAUAAAAGGGUGGUAGGAGAUACAGCCAUCAUUGGCUCCAAAACUUAAGAUCUUGUCAAAAAAGCUGCCAAUUUUCCAGUGCAUUUCUUAAACUACCAAAAUGUGCAUUUUUCUUCAUACAUGUACAGGUUUUCUUCAUAAUACCAAAGAUCCAGUAAGCUUCUAGUCUUUUCAUCACUGAGGAAUUUAGUCCAAGCCAUAGACCUUAGAUAAAUGGACCUUCAUUAUUGAAUCAGGGUAAGGUUACUCCUUUGUUAUAGCCUUCUUCCCUUUUCACUGGCACCCAGCCAGAAAACCAACCCUGCCAAUUUCGCCAAGAGGAUUUUUCUAGAUCUUGUGCUGAUCCCUUUCUUCCAUUGUUUCCCCUUUCCUCUGAACAUCUGUGUCACAUUUUCCAGCAAUGUUUUAAGAGCUGAGUUUCUAUACUGGUUGACCAGUGUAUGGGUGGUUGCCUCUCAAUCUAGAUGAAAUGUAUGCCACCCAAUGGAAGGAAAGACCAAAGGGCCAUGCCUUCCGCUUUUGCUACUUUAUCCCAAGCCUCUUGUAGCUAGUGCCAUACAAGUGCACAUAGUAUAUUACUCAAUAAAUGAUGCUCAAAAUAAUAAUUAUCUUAAAGGGUUGCUCAUACAACGAUACCAAAGGCUUAUGAUAUGCCCAGAAUGUUAUCUUCCUGAAUUAGGAUACCCUCACUAAAUCUGGCAUGCACAGCAUUGAAUGAAUAGGAAUCAUGCUUGGCAGACCACUCCCACCCCAUCAGACCACUAUGAACACCAAGUUACUUCUUCAGGCAGAUGCCUGAGCUUGGGCCUCAACAGAAAUCCAAUAGUGAAAUGAAGGGCACUCAAAACUCAUACAUUUCCUUCUGGUCCCUCUUCCUGCUAAAGGAGGUUUGCAAAGCAAUGAGCUAAGGAUGUUUUUAACAUUUCAAAUAGCAAAAAGUCAGUUCAUCCGUGAAGUACUCACUCUAGAAUUCUGUGCAUGUUACCAGAAUGGAGGCCAAAUCCAAUGUGACAACUGCCAGGUGAAAAUCACAGAAGCAUAAUAUUGUGCAAUUUGAUUUCAAGGCAGAAUGUUCUAAAUCCUUAGGUUGCCAGCCAGACAAAACAUCUGUGAAGAUCAGACCCACAUUUAGACGUGGAGGUCGCUCACCUUUAAAUACUUGGGUGAAUGCUACAAACUCUUAAAGUCAAAACUCUCAACAUGCUCCCCAAAACUACCAUUUUUAAAAGUUUAAAUUUCUGCAAAUAGUAUUAUUAGUCAUUUGAUGUAAAUUUCAUAGAACAUUAGAUCUAGGAUAUCCAUGAAAUACUGUUUAACGAAACUCCCUUUGUUUACAAUAAAGAAAUUAAAACUUAGAAGAGUACAUCAUCUGUGCAAGCUCACCAAAUCAGCUAAAAUCAGAGCCAAUAUGUGGUCCCAAAUUGGUCAGUCACCAUGUUCCAUAGCUCAGCUGAUCUGCACAUUCAGAUACAUAAUGGAAACCACAUGAGCUUUUGUGAGUGAACUACUCAACUUCCCUUGGAAUGAAUAAUGCCUAUUUCAUAGGGAAGUUAUGUUAAUUAAAUGAAACAGUGAAAGUAGCACAUGGCUCAUAAUAAUAUGUUAUAAAUGGUAGCUGUUGCUAUCAUCACUAUCAUUACUGUUAUUAUCCAACCUACAAUUUAAGUUUCACACAAUUUCCUGUCAUAAGUGAGCCUGGUUGUAUUUUUAGGAGACCCCUUCUGAGCAGUGAAUGGAGCCUGGAAUUGAUGUUCCCACAAUUAGCUAGGUUUCCAACAGGUCUGGCACGAGUCUCGUAACCAAGCUGCAGCCUACAGUAUGAGAGUCUAAUGGUCACAAAAAAAGAUCAUCGGUUUUAAAUCAGGGAGUUCUGAGUCUCAAUCCAGAAUCCAGUUCUGCCAUUUAUUGCAUGGAUGACCAUGGAUUAAUUAAUUGAUUUUACUAAGUCUCGGUUUUCUCUUAAGUGAAGAAGACAGCACCUACAUUAAAGUGUGUAGAGAGAAGACUAAAUAAAAUAAUAUAGUGACAUCACCAAGAUGGCAAAGUAGGUAAUUCCCAAUUUCACUCCUCACAAGAAGAACAACUAACAACUAUUCAAGAAUAAUACUGAGAGAAUUCUAAACACAGGGGUGAGUUUGAAGUACCCCCAACACACACACAUACCACCAAGACCAAGGCAGACUGCAUUAGAAGGGUAAGAGAAGCAGCUACAAAUCAACUGCACUGCCCCUCCCCCAGGACCAGCACAGUACUAUAUGGAGAGAUCUUCCCUGAGCCUCUGGUUCUUCCAGGGGGAAAAGAGAACCCAGGGAGGGUAGACAGAUAGCACUGGGGUCACUUUGUGGGAGCCCCAUUCUGAUUUCAUAAUAUUGGGACUGCAGGGAAUCUUCAGGCUCAACCUCUGGGAAUCUGUGGUGGGUAGGUGCUUAACAAUGAGCUUAUCUUGGCAGACUGAGUUUACACCUGCAGUGCCCAAGAAGUAAUCCCAACCAGUGACUUUGCUCCUGUGCUGAACCAAAUGGGGGCAUAGUGUGACCAGGGAACUUGAUGGGAUGCAUAUAUGUCUCAUUCAGUUCCUCAGAUGAGGAAUUUUGCCAGCCUUAGAGCCUGGUUUGCUCAAACUGAGGCAAAGGACCUAAGACACUGCCCCUCCCCCAAGUGUAGAGUGUCUUCUGACCCCAUCUGACCAGAAGGGCUAAGGGCAACUCCUGGAAGCUGUGUGGUCCAGUAGUACUCUAGUCAACAGGUGAGCAGGAAGAGCUAAUUGCCCCCAGAGCAACACCAGUACUAAGCAUGGAGGGUUCUCAUGCUAUGCACAGGAUUAAUUCAAAGCCAUGACUGAAGGUAGCUCCUGGAAGCUCUUCUAGUGAAAGUGCUUACUGGAAAUUGACAGUAGCCCAGAGAGCAGCCCCCCAUCCCCUUCUUGCUUGGCAGGGGAACUGAGACAUAGUCCUACCCCCUGUGAAGAAUGUCUUCAGGUCCCAUGUGACCAGAAGGGCUGGCAGCAACUCCUGGAAAUUAUGCAUCUUAGUGGUUCUCAAGACGCAAGAAAGGCAAGCAAAGAUGAUAGUUUGCAAAGCAAAGCCAGUGGCAUUGUUUAACCAAGGAUCUUGGGUUGUGUGUCGGCUUGAAUUAAGACAACAAAGUCUGACAAAUGUGCUCAUCUUCAGAAUCGAAAAAGGAGCACAGUGUUGCCAGGGAACUUAGUGGGAUGCAGAUAUGCCUGUGGGAAUUAUGGAAUACACUGAAAAGAAACAAUAUUCACAUUAUGAGAACUCCAAAAGGAGAAGAGAAAGAGAAAGAACAGAAAGUACAUUUAAAACAAUAAUGCUGAAAACCUGCCAAACCUGGACAGAAAAAUGGACAAAAUACCCCAAAUAGACUGGGCCUAAAUAAGGCUACAUUGAGACAUAUUAUAAUUAAAUUGUCAAAAGUCGAAGACAAAGAAAGAAUUUUAAGAGCAGCCAGAGAAAAGAGAGAAAUUACAUAAAAGGAACCCCAAUACAACUACCCAAAAAUUCUCAAUAGAGAUUUUUCAGGCCAGGAGAGAAUCAGAUGGCAUAAUCAAAAUAUUAAAAGAAAAUACUGUCAACCAGGAAAUCCAUACCUAGGGAAGCUGUCUUUCAUAAAGGAAGCAAGAACAAAAACUUUCCUGAACAACAACAACAAAAGCUGAAGGAGUUUAUUACCACCAGCCUUGCCUUAUUAUAAGAAAUUCUAGAGUGAGUUCUUUGAAAGGAUAUAAAAGAACACUAAUUAAUAUCAUAAAAACAUAAAAAAGUAAGAUAAAUCUCACUGGCAAGGGUAAAUAUAUAGUCAUAGUUAGAUUCUGGAGAAUGGUAAUAAUGGUAUAUAAUUCAUUUAUAAAUGUUUAAAAAAAUUUAAUGUAGCAAAAUAAUCAUAAAAUAAUGUUAUUAGUUACACAGUAUUUUUAAAUGUAAAUUAUAACAGCAAUAAUCUAAAAUGUGAGGGGGGAGAAGGAAAAACAUACAGUUUAUGAAUUUUAUUAAAGUUAUCAGUUUAAAAUAACAUGUCGUAAGUUUAAGAUAUGUAAGUCUCAUGUUAACCAUGAGGGAAAUCCUAUAGUAAUCACAAAAAAUACAAUAAGACGUUGAAGCACACUGAAACCCAAAGUCAUUAAAACACACACACAGGAGUUCCCGUCAUGGCCCAGUGGAAACAAAUCCAACUAGGAACCAUGAGGUUGAGGAUUCGAUCCCUGGCCUCACUCAGUGGAAUAAGGAUCUGGUGUUGCUGUGAGCUGUGUUGUAGGUCACAGACGCAGCUCAGAUUCUGCAUUGCUGUGGCUGUGGUGUAGACCAGCAACUGUAGCUCCAAUUCGACUCCCAGCCUGGGAACAUCCAUAUGCCGUGGGUGCGACUAAAAAGCAAACACACACAUACAUACACACACACAGACAAAAAGACAGCAGGAUAAAUCUACAAAACUACUAAAAAACAAUUAACAAAAUGGCAGUAGUAAGUCUUUACCUAUCAAUAAUUACUUUAAACAGAUAGUGGAUAAAUUCUCCAAUUAAAAAAGAAUGGCUGAAUGGUUAUAAAAAUAAGAUCCAACAAUACACUGCCUAUAAGAGAGUCACUUUAGCCUUAAAGACACACAUGAGAGUGAAGGAAUGGAAAAAGACACUUCAAGCAAAUGGUACUCCCCACCCAAAAAAGCAGAGGUAGCUAUAUUUAUAUCAGGCAAAAUAAACUUUAAAAAUGUUUUUUUUUAAAAAAAGACAAAGUUGGGAGUUCCCGUCAUGGUGCAGUGGUUAACGGAUCCGACUAGGAACCAUGAGGUUGCGGGUUCGGUCCCUGCCCUUGCUCAGUGGGUUAACGAUCCGGCGUUGCCGUGAGCUGUGGUGUAGGUUGCAGACGCAGCUCGGAUCCCGCGUUGCUGUGUCUCUGGCAUAGGCCGGUGGCUACAGCUCCGAUUCAACCCCUAGCCCGGGAACCUCCAUAUGCCGUGGGAGCGGCCCAA
Molecule: long non-coding RNA, 6044 nt
Filed under: Sus scrofa (pig)
Lineage: Eukaryota; Metazoa; Chordata; Mammalia; Artiodactyla; Suidae
Description: lncRNA (ENSSSCG00000056064.1)
Source: RNAcentral